AUGUUUCUGCGCAGGGUCGGCCUGCUCAGGCUUCCGCGGCACCCCUCACCGCGACCGCGGCGCGCCUGUUCCGCCAGCUCACCUCGUCCGAGCUACUCGAGCGUCGCCGCCAAGGGUUGUGCUUCAACUGCGACGAGCCUUACAUGCCCGGCCACGUCUGUCCGCGACUCUUCUACCAGGAGGUUGCAGACUACAUUCCGGAGGACACCGUCGCCGCCGACCUGGCCGCCUCAGCUGACGCGCAGGUGUUUGACGCUGGUUAAUCACCUCGAGGAGUUCAGCAAGCGCUUCCCCACCUUACAGCUCGAGGACGAGCUGUUUGUGCAGGCGGGGAGAAAUGUUAUGACCGGCCUGACUUAUGGCCGUAGAAGGCCCACCGGGCGAUCUUAG
This 390-nucleotide ribosomal RNA is filed under the name Triticum aestivum (bread wheat). Its description in RNAcentral is "partial small subunit ribosomal RNA". Lineage: Eukaryota; Viridiplantae; Streptophyta; Magnoliopsida; Poales; Poaceae. The record is from RNAcentral.